Molecule: long non-coding RNA, 525 nt
Organism: Misgurnus anguillicaudatus (oriental weatherfish)
Lineage: Eukaryota; Metazoa; Chordata; Actinopteri; Cypriniformes; Cobitidae
Source: RefSeq, a predicted model, not a curated record
ACACUGAAAUGGUAAAAAAUACACUAUUAAUAUGAAUAAUAUCAAAUAAAUAUUUGUCCCCCAAAUUUAUAUCAUUGGGGUUACCCUACCCAAAGCACUUUUAUUUUGAAACAAUGCAUCAGCUCUUUGAAGUUUUUCAUGGGUCAAGAGCAGUGGAAGAAGUGCAGUGGAAGAAGGCAAAAGGUUUCUGUGAUGAAUGUACAACUUUUGCAGACCGUCUCUCUUUCAGAUGUCUAAAUCUGUGACAAAUUGUUAUUGCUGACUGUGAGACACAUUGGAUGUUGUACAGUAUGCUGAACAUUCUCAAAAUGCUCUUAUAUGCUUUUGACACCUUAUUGCCAUACGAACAAGUAAAAUUGAAAGGGAACAUUCAAAGGGAAGAGGAGAACAUGAAGAGGUCACCCGAUGAACAAGGAGACAUGGAUAAUAAUGGCAAUGGAUUACACCUUUUACACAGCAUUUAAUGUCUGACCCCUGAUUUGUUCUGCCCUUCCCAAAUAAUAUAUCAUCACACCUUGUACCCAC